RNAcentral lists this transfer RNA (76 nucleotides) under Bacteroidales bacterium. Its description in RNAcentral is "tRNA-Gln". It matches the Rfam family "tRNA". Rfam says of the family: Transfer RNA (tRNA) molecules are approximately 80 nucleotides in length. Their secondary structure includes four short double-helical elements and three loops (D, anti-codon, and T loops). Further hydrogen bonds mediate the characteristic L-shaped molecular structure. tRNAs have two regions of fundamental functional importance: the anti-codon, which is responsible for specific mRNA codon recognition, and the 3' end, to which the tRNAs corresponding amino acid is attached (by aminoacyl-tRNA synthetases). tRNAs cope with the degeneracy of the genetic code in two manners: having more than one tRNA (with a specific anti-codon) for a particular amino acid; and 'wobble' base-pairing, i.e. permitting non-standard base-pairing at the 3rd anti-codon position. Lineage: Bacteria; Pseudomonadati; Bacteroidota; Bacteroidia; Bacteroidales. The record is from RNAcentral.
UGCCCGAUGGUGUAAUUGGCAACACGUCUGACUCUGGAUCAGAAGAGCCCAGGUUCGAACCCUGGUCGGGCAACCA